This 253-nucleotide ribosomal RNA is filed under the name uncultured bacterium. RNAcentral's name for it is "partial 16S ribosomal RNA". It matches the Rfam family "Bacterial small subunit ribosomal RNA", at positions 524 to 776 of the family's 1533-position model. The record is from RNAcentral.
UACGUAGGGUGCGAGCGUUACUCGGAAUUACUGGGCGUAAAGCGUGCGCAGGCGGUUCGUGAUGUCUGAUGUGAAAGCCCCGGGCUCAACCUGGGAACUGCAUUGGAAACUAGCGGGCUGGAGUGUGGCAGAGGGGGGUGGAAUUCCACGUGUAGCAGUGAAAUGCGUAGAGAUGUGGAGGAACACCGAUGGCGAAGGCAGCCCCCUGGGCUAACACUGACGCUCAUGCACGAAAGCGUGGGGAGCAAACAGG